RNAcentral lists this long non-coding RNA (472 nucleotides) under Homo sapiens (human). RNAcentral describes it as "HSALNT0195072". The record is from RNAcentral. Lineage: Eukaryota; Metazoa; Chordata; Mammalia; Primates; Hominidae.
GGAGGGAGGAAGAGAGAUUGGGAGGGAGGAAGAGAGAUUGGGAGGGAGGAAGAGAGAUUAUGAGACACUAGAGUGGGUGGAGGAUACUGGAGGCUGGGAACGGCCCACGGAAGAGGUCGGUCUUUGUGCAGUUAUAAACUUCAACAAGGUAGAGAUCGUGUCCAUCUUGUUCACAGCCGAAGUUGCAGCACCUAGCACAGUGCCUGGCACAUGUUGUGGAACUUGGCGCUCAGAGAGAGUCCUGAUGUGCCAGAGACCACACAGACAAGCAGUCCAGGGUUGGGACUGGUGCCAGCCAGGUAGGCUCCUCUGAAAAGCCCAGUCUCUUUAGGAGCUGAUUGCCCCCAAGCUGAGAUUCAGCUGGACCAUGAAUGAACCGUGUGACCUUUGGCAAGUCUUGGCUUCUCAACUGUGAACCGGAGCUGAUAAUGCCCACUUGUGUCUCAUGUGCCCUGAACAAUGCCUGGCACUU